Molecule: long non-coding RNA, 785 nt
Organism: Magnolia sinica
Lineage: Eukaryota; Viridiplantae; Streptophyta; Magnoliopsida; Magnoliales; Magnoliaceae
Exons: 3
Source: RefSeq, a predicted model, not a curated record
CGUAGCUAAACCUUAGCUCAAGUAAUGUUAGGGUGGAGCAUAGGGUAGGCUUCUUGUAGUGAAUACCUUGUAGCUAUAUAACUUAUAUUUACAUUGGUGAGAAACAAUUCGUGGGCCUGCAGAUCUUGGGCAUGUCGACCGUUUAUUGAUUACAAUAUUUGACAGUUUGAAUGGGAAAUGGCAGAAGGAACUCGAGAAAAUUGGGAGGCAAUAUCCGUUUAAACCUUUGAAGCUCAAUUUUCUUUACCAUUAUGAGUUUCAAAAUGUUGAAUUUGGUCUAUAUGCUCAUUGUCUCCAUUGAUCAUUUUCUGUUUGCCUUUGUUAUAACUUGUAUAUGUAUGUUAAUUAAAUCAUAUUGGCAUCUGAUUUUUACACACCUCACUCUUGAGUCUGAACAUUUGUACAUCUUUUAUUUUCCCCAUAUGGAUAUAUGGCGUGGAAGGAUAAAACACAUGCAUCAAUGUGGGCCCACAGAUGUGGGAUCUUCACUCUGACAAAAUGUCCUUUGAUGUCUUCAGUCCUGCUUUCCAAUGCUAGUGUAAUUUCAGAUUGGAUGUCUUUGCUCCUACCUUUGGCUGUGGAAAGAGGAGUUUGUGUAAUUACCAAUAUGGGUGCAAGUUUUUGUCAUCCUACCAGGAAGUGUCUUAAGCUUGAUCAUGUCCAAGCCCCAUGGAUUUCAUUUUUCUUUUCUACAGUUUAUCUUAGUAUGAUAUGGAAGACAACUGCAAGAGCUUACGACUUAGCUACUCUCAAGUAUUGGGACUAGCAACUCAUAUCAACUUCCU